UUUCAUACCUGCUUGGCCUAUACAGGGUCAUGGGAGUCCAUAGCCCAUCCCAGAAGCUACAGGUGCAAUGCAGGUAAUAGCCCAGGGUGGGGCACUAACCCAUCACAGGGCACACUCACACACCACUCACACACCACUCACAACUACAGAGAAUUUGGCAACUUGCUUGUUUUUGGACUGUGGGGGGAAACCAGAGACCCUGUAGGAAACCCCACAAUGACAUGGGUAGAACAUGCAAACUCCACAAACACGGAGCCAUGGCGGAGACUCGAACCCUGGUCCCAGAGGUGUGAGGCCACCAUACCACCUGCAAACAGUAAUAUAUACCAUACAUAUAAGUACAUUUAUCAAUAUAAAGAACUGAGACAUAUGUUGAUUAUUCUUGUCAUUUCCUGAAUGUUUUCCGUGCAGUGAAAUAUAUCGGCAUGCAUAUUACACCACAAUGCUUUUGGUCAACCAGACAUAGUCCCAGAUUUAAUGCUUGUGUUUAUUCCAGUGGCAUUUACAUGACAGCAUUGAUGCUGUAGACAUUUUCUUGACCUGAGGCCAAAGCGGCAGCACUGACAACGGCGUCUCUCUGAGUUGUCCUGCAAGAUUACAGAAGGGCAAGGUGUGUUAGAAAUGUAAAGAAUGCACCUGGACCAGGCCUUUGAAGACAAUGAGUGACGCGCUGCUCUGCCUCAUUUGUACUCCGUGUCUAACAUGGACUGCACACGUUACAUGGGUCGCUGCCUGAUCUUCCUCUUACUGGCGAUUGUGUUCGAUGUGGUCGGCCUCGUCAUCCUCCUCCUCGGCAUCUUUGCUCCACUCAGUUUCUGGGACUUCCUCGUAUUCACUGGACCCCUCAUCAUCUUCCUUAGCCUGGUCUUUUGGGCGUUUUGGUACCUGGGGAACAUCUACGUCGCUGACGAAGACUUGCUCCUGCCGCAGUAGGAACCGCAAUGUCGUUCGCUGUGCCGGGAGUCAGCGGCUUGCGCCGAGGAACUCGUGUCUGGAGAAGCUCGCUUCAGGAAUUCGAACGGGGGGAUUUGAAAUUGCCCAUCAAGAUUGGGGCAAAUGAGACAGAGCGAUGAUGGCGUCUGUCCAGCAAAGAGGGGGAUCAUUUGAAGAUGGUAUGGAGGACAGAGCAGGCAGUUUUGCUCCAGGGAUACUGGAGACGUCACAUCUUCAAGGACUCAUCGGGGAUACCCUGGGAGCGGACUGCAUUGCAGAACAUCCUGCACUUGAAGGUGUUUUUUUGGACUUAGGUGGUUUGUCUGUUGUGUAUAUGCAUCCAAUUUUGUUUGUCAGCAAAAGCUGAUAUAGUCGACUUUAAUUUUAUUUUCGCGCGUAGAAGGAAUAUUCUUGUUUGGUCUGAAUGUAAAACCAGCCUAACAGGCUGUGUCACUUCUACUGAAAGAAUGAGGGUCCAGAAAAGAAAGAAACUGUGUGACCACAUCUGAAGGCCUGUCUUUCAUCUCUGCUGGAAGGAAUGGAGCAAUGUUAACCUCAAAAAAGGGAAUUGCUGCUUCUGGAUGACAUCUAGCACCGAUAACAUCUUUAAACCUUAAAUAUAUAACAUCAUUUUAACAUUAUACAUAUAAAGUAUACACCAUAACUGGUGUUUAUCAAUCUUUAAGUUUAAAAUAUAUACAGAAUUAAUCACAAGUGAAAUCAUCAUCUAAUUUAUUCUGUUCUUGUGUUAGUAAGGUUUCUUUUUGUUUAAUCACUGACCAUGUUAUUCACCUAUAUGAAUAAAAAUGAACUUGCCAAUAUUA
This is a non-coding RNA of Paramormyrops kingsleyae, 1757 nucleotides long. NCBI's taxonomy places the organism in Eukaryota, Metazoa, Chordata, Actinopteri, Osteoglossiformes, Mormyridae. The record is from RefSeq and is a predicted model, not a curated record.